This 479-nucleotide ribosomal RNA is filed under the name Escherichia coli. RNAcentral describes it as "partial 23S ribosomal RNA". It matches the Rfam family "Bacterial large subunit ribosomal RNA", at positions 1273 to 1754 of the family's 2925-position model. Lineage: Bacteria; Pseudomonadati; Pseudomonadota; Gammaproteobacteria; Enterobacterales; Enterobacteriaceae. The record is from RNAcentral.
CUGGAGGUAUCAGAAGUGCGAAUGCUGACAUAAGUAACGAUAAAGCGGGUGAAAAGCCCGCUCGCCGGAAGACCAAGGGUUCCUGUCCAACGUUAAUCGGGGCAGGGUGAGUCGACCCCUAAGGCGAGGCCGAAAGGCGUAGUCGAUGGGAAACAGGUUAAUAUUCCUGUACUUGGUGUUACUGCGAAGGGGGGACGGAGAAGGCUAUGUUGGCCGGGCGACGGUUGUCCCGGUUUAAGCGUGUAGGCUGGUUUUCCAGGCAAAUCCGGAAAAUCAAGGCUGAGGCGUGAUGACGAGGCACUACGGUGCUGAAGCAACAAAUGCCCUGCUUCCAGGAAAAGCCUCUAAGCAUCAGGUAACAUCAAAUCGUACCCCAAACCGACACAGGUGGUCAGGUAGAGAAUACCAAGGCGCUUGAGAGAACUCGGGUGAAGGAACUAGGCAAAAUGGUGCCGUAACUUCGGGAGAAGGCACGCUGA